AGAGUUUGAUCAUGGCUCAGAACGAACGCUGGCGGCAGGCUUAACACAUGCAAGUCGAACGCGACCUUCGGGUCGAGUGGCGCACGGGUGAGUAACGCGUGGGAACCUGUCCUGUGGUACGGAAUAACACCGGGAAACUGGUGCUAAUACCGUAUAUCCCCUGAGGGGGAAAGAUUUAUCGCCAUAGGAGGGGCCCGCGU
RNAcentral lists this ribosomal RNA (200 nucleotides) under uncultured bacterium. RNAcentral's name for it is "partial 16S ribosomal RNA". It matches the Rfam family "Bacterial small subunit ribosomal RNA", at positions 8 to 236 of the family's 1533-position model. The record is from RNAcentral.